ACCCUCCAAGGCUAAAUACUACCUAGUGACCGAUAGCGUAUAGUACCGUGAGGGAAAGGUGAAAAGAACCCCGGGAGGGGAGUGAAAUAGAACCUGAAACCCUGCACUUACAAGCUGUGGAAGCACAUUUCUUGUGUGACCGCGUACUUUUUGUAGAACGGGCCAACGAGUUACGUUAAGUAGCAAGGUUAAGCACUUAAGGUGUGGAGCCGUAGCGAAAGCGAGUUUUAACUGAGCGGUCAGUUAAUUGACGUAGACCCGAAACCGGGCGACCUACCCAUGAGCAGGAUGAAGCGAAAGUAAAAUUUCGUGGAGGUCCGAACCCACGAGCG
This 332-nucleotide ribosomal RNA is filed under the name Clostridioides difficile. RNAcentral's name for it is "bacterial LSU rRNA". It matches the Rfam family "Bacterial large subunit ribosomal RNA", at positions 455 to 788 of the family's 2925-position model. The record is from RNAcentral. Lineage: Bacteria; Bacillati; Bacillota; Clostridia; Peptostreptococcales; Peptostreptococcaceae.